CACCAGCAUUGAUACUCCAUCACUUAUGUACUGCAUCAAGCCGUCCUCAGAGGUGAGGAAGGUGCUGUCAAGACUAGAAGCAUGUGUCCCUCUCUCCAUUGCAAGAUGGGACAUAGAGAGGAGAAAAGUGGCAGACAGAAGGCUAAUCUCAACUGGAAACCAGAAGGCUAGAAAUCUUACUGAUGUGAUGUCCAGGGAUACAGAGCAUAUGAAGGAUGCAGAGAGUGGGUCAAAUGGAAGGAAUGUAGCAAAACAUGUAAACUUGAGUAAGUAUUUGAUCUCUUUGAGCCUAUGUUUUUCAAUAUUUGGAUUCCAACAGCCAGCUCAGUGCUGACAGAGUCAGCAAGUUCUUGUUGAGUGGGAUUGUGUCCAUAAAAUAAUGUAUAUAAAAUAGACAAGCUCUAUAGCUCCUUUCAAUUAUGACCUUCUCUGAUUACUAUUUUGUUGAUUGUCCUCAAAUAUUAUUAAAUAAUCAUGCCCUGACCAUAAUAAAGAAGACUUCAUCAUUGCUGAGGAUGAAUUUCACACCCCAGUCUUUAACUCUAUGCUCUGCUAUCUCUUCCAUCUAAAAAUACAAAAACUGAUUGUUCAG
Molecule: long non-coding RNA, 592 nt
Organism: Homo sapiens (human)
Lineage: Eukaryota; Metazoa; Chordata; Mammalia; Primates; Hominidae
Product: long intergenic non-protein coding RNA 2432
Source: Ensembl